This 403-nucleotide ribosomal RNA is filed under the name Candidatus Williamhamiltonella defendens. RNAcentral describes it as "bacterial SSU rRNA". It matches the Rfam family "Bacterial small subunit ribosomal RNA", at positions 27 to 420 of the family's 1533-position model. Lineage: Bacteria; Pseudomonadati; Pseudomonadota; Gammaproteobacteria; Enterobacterales; Enterobacteriaceae. The record is from RNAcentral.
GAUUGAACACUGGUGGCAGGCCUAACACAUGCAAGUCGAGCGGCAUCGAGUGAGCGCAGUUUACUGAGUUCAUGUCGGCGAGCGGCGGACGGGUGAGUAAAGUCUGGGAAUCUGGCCGAAGGAGGGGGAUAACUGCUGGAAACGGCAGCUAAUACCGCAUGAAGUCGCGAGACCAAAGUGGGGGACCUUCGGGCCUCACGCCUUCGGAUGAGCCCAGAUGAGAUUAGCUGGUAGGUAAGGUAAAGGCUUACCUAGGCGACGAUCUCUAGCGGGUCUGAGAGGAUAGCCCGCCACACUGGAACUGAGACACGGUCCAGACUCCUACGGGAGGCAGCAGUGGGGAAUAUUGCACAAUGGGCGAAAGCCUGAUGCAGCCAUGCCACGUGUGUGAAGAAGGCCUCGG